AGCUAGCCCCUUUGUGCGGCGGGGGCGGCGGAGUGCUCCCUCCAAGACCGGUUGCACCCCGCUUUCCUGGCCAGGACUCUGGCGCGCUAAGGAGGCGCGGUUGGAGGCAUCUGUCCACCCAUGUGGUUCCAGACACGUUCAUGUGGCCACCAAGACCCCGUCGGCAUCACAGGAGUAACCAAGGUGAUCCUCCCUCUCUUCCUGUGUCCACUGGGGCUGGUAGAGACCAACUUAAUGCUUUGAGGUCAGAUCCAUCAUGAAAUCCGUAUGUCCUGAGACCUCCUGAAUCUUAAGAGAGCAGCAAGUUCCUGGGACAGAGGAGAGAGAAGGGAAUUUCCAGGUUCUUCAGGACGUUCACAACCACACUGAGAAGCAUCUUUGCAGAUAAGUAUUUAAACUUACCAGCCCAUAGCCUACCAGCCUGCCCUCUUCUGGUCUGUGCAGGAAAGUGUAGUAUCCUAGAAUACCAAAGUGGGAGGGGAAACGGGUGAUGUAGCUCAUUCUCUUUUCUACCUCUAUGGAAGAAAGAAAGAGCCUGUCCCCAUUUUGUGGGGUCCCAGAAAGGGUGAUUUUUCACACU
Molecule: long non-coding RNA, 580 nt
Filed under: Pongo abelii (Sumatran orangutan)
Lineage: Eukaryota; Metazoa; Chordata; Mammalia; Primates; Hominidae
Description: lincRNA
Source: RNAcentral